This 225-nucleotide long non-coding RNA is filed under the name Brassica napus (rape). RNAcentral's name for it is "long non-coding RNA (BNAP_LNC001773)". Lineage: Eukaryota; Viridiplantae; Streptophyta; Magnoliopsida; Brassicales; Brassicaceae. The record is from RNAcentral.
CGUGAUCAGACACCUUUUGCUAGGCUAUUCGUACGGAAUUUUAAAGAUCUAGGAAUAUAAGCAAUAAAAAGUUCAGAAAAUUCUUUGGAUACAGCCUGUAUUUCGUCGAGCUCCGAGUCCAACACAGGCUAAUCUUCCUUUUUUUGAAUGAGUAUAACCAGUUGUUCACAGUCGAUUGAAAGACCAUCUCUCUGUGUCCAAACUUUAGUAUCACUUGCAUUGCCC